GGGUGGGGCCGCAGAGACCAGUGAGAAGCGACUGUUUACUAAAAACACAGGUCCGUGCGAAGUCGUAAGACGAUGUAUACGGACUGACGCCUGCCCGGUGCUGGAAGGUUAAGAGGACCGGUUAGUUCCUUCGGGAGCGAAGCUGAGAAUUUAAGCCCCAGUAAACGGCGGUGGUAACUAUAACCAUCCUAAGGUAGCGAAAUUCCUUGUCGGGUAAGUUCCGACCUGCACGAAUGGCGUAACGACUUCUCAGCUGUCUCAACCGUAGACUCGGCGAAAUUGCAUUACGAGUAAAGAUGCUCGUUACGCGCGGCAGGACGAAAAGACCCCGGGACCUUCACUACAGCUUGGUAUUGGUGUUCGGUUCGGUUUGUGUAGGAUAGGUGGGAGACUGUGAAGCGGUGACGCCAGUUAUCGUGGAGUCGUUGUUGAAAUACCACUCUGAUCGAAUUGGACCUCUAACCUCGGACCAUGAUCUGGUUCAGGGACAGUGCCUGGUGGGUAGUUUAACUGGGGCGGUUGCCUCCCAAAAUGUAACGGAGGCGCCCAAAGGUUCCCUCAGCCUGGUUGGCAAUCAGGUGUCGAGUGCAAGUGCACAAGGGAGCUUGACUGUGAGACUGACAGGUCGAGCAGGGACGAAAGUCGGGACUAGUGAUCCGGCACCGGCAAGUGGAAGCGGUGUCGCUCAACGGAUAAAAGGUACCCCGGGGAUAACAGGCUGAUCUUCCCCAAGAGUCCAUAUCGACGGGAUGGUUUGGCACCUCGAUGUCGGCUCGUCGCAUCCUGGGGC
RNAcentral lists this ribosomal RNA (790 nucleotides) under Rhodococcus qingshengii. Its description in RNAcentral is "bacterial LSU rRNA". It matches the Rfam family "Bacterial large subunit ribosomal RNA", at positions 1769 to 2553 of the family's 2925-position model. The record is from RNAcentral. Lineage: Bacteria; Bacillati; Actinomycetota; Actinomycetes; Mycobacteriales; Nocardiaceae.